RNAcentral lists this ribosomal RNA (540 nucleotides) under uncultured Nostocales cyanobacterium. RNAcentral's name for it is "bacterial SSU rRNA". It matches the Rfam family "Bacterial small subunit ribosomal RNA", at positions 48 to 631 of the family's 1533-position model. Lineage: Bacteria; Bacillati; Cyanobacteriota; Cyanophyceae; Nostocales. The record is from RNAcentral.
CUUACACAUGCAGUCGAACGGUGUCUUCGGACAUAGUGGCGGACGGGUGAGUAACGCGUGAGAAUUUGGCUUCAGGUCUGGGACAACCACUGGAAACGGUGGCUAAUACCGGAUGUGCCCUUUGGGGUGAAAGGUUAAUUGCCUGAAGAUGAGCUCGCGUCUGAUUAGCUAGUUGGAAGUGUAAUGGACUCCCAAGGCGACGAUCAGUAGCUGGUCUGAGAGGACGAUCAGCCACACUGGGACUGAGACACGGCCCAGACUCCUACGGGAGGCAGCAGUGGGGAAUUUUCCGCAAUGGGCGAAAGCCUGACGGAGCAAUACCGCGUGAGGGAGGAAGGCUCUUGGGUCGUAAACCUCUUUUCUCAGGGAAGAACACAAUGACGGUACCUGAGGAAUAAGCAUCGGCUAACUCCGUGCCAGCAGCCGCGGUAAUACGGAGGAUGCAAGCGUUAUCCGGAAUGAUUGGGCGUAAAGCGUCCGCAGGUGGCAAUGUAAGUCUGCUGUUAAAGAGUCUAGCUCAACUAGAUAAGAGCAGUGGAA